GAUCAACGCUGGCGGCGUGCUUAACACAUGCAAGUCGAACGAGGAAGAUUAAAAUAUUUCUUCGGAAUGAACUGAAUUGGAGUAGUGGCGAACGGGGGAGUAACGCGUGAGUAACAUGCCUUGUACAAGGAGAUAGGCGUUGGAAACGACGAAUAAUACGCUAUGACAUCAAAUAAUCGGAUGAUAAUUUGAUCAAAGAUUUAUCGGUAGAAGAUGGACUCGCGGCUGAUUAGCUAGUUGGUAGAGUAAAAGACUACCAAGGCAACGAGCAGUAGCCGGCGGGAGAGAGUGUACAACGGCACUGGGACAGAGACCAGGCCCCGACUCGUGGCAGAGGUAGGAAGGGUGACUUAUGAACAAUGGGGGAGACGCUGAAGCAGCGCCGGCGUGAGAUUUAGAAGCCCGUUGGGUAGUAAUAUUCUUUUGUAUGGGAAGAAAAUGACGGUACCAGACGAAUAAGGACCGGCUAACUACGUG
RNAcentral lists this ribosomal RNA (477 nucleotides) under uncultured bacterium. RNAcentral describes it as "partial 16S ribosomal RNA". It matches the Rfam family "Bacterial small subunit ribosomal RNA", at positions 28 to 507 of the family's 1533-position model. The record is from RNAcentral.